AUCCCGCAUCUGAGAGGCGCAGCUGCCUCCACCCGCCUAGUCCCGCCCAAGGGUUCAAUGAGCGCCUACUGUGUACUUUUGGGGCAGGAGCUGGGGUCUCCUUUUGUGGCCCAGGGCACAAGUUCAGCAGCUGGCCAAGGGCCGCCGGCAUGCAUUCUUGCUGCUACCCUUGAUGCAUUCAUUCCAGCCAGGGCAGGGCUCGCGUGUCUUUGGGACCUAUUAGGCAGAUGCCCUAGAGGCUGAGCGACUUGCUCACCGCUCCAGCGACAUGGGCCACCCGCCACCCCUCAGCUGAAGCCGGAAGUCAGCACCUAUUAGGUGCCGCCUCUAUUCAGUCGGACUUGGAAAGGGUUCACGUGGAUCCCUUGCUCAGCUCAGAGGCAAGGUCUCCAGGUGAAGUGACAAGAAAUGAGCAUGGGCCAAGGCCGGAGGCGGUGGCUCAUGCCUGUAAUCCCAACACUUUGGAAGGCUGAGGCAGGCAGAUCACGAGGUCAGGAGUUCGAGACCAUUCUGGCCCACAUGGAGAAACCCUGUCUCUACUAAAAAUACAAAAAUUAGCUGGGUGUGGUGGCAUGUGCCUAUAAUCCCAGCUACUCAGGAGGCUGAGGCAGGACAAUUGCUUGAACCAGGGAGUCGGGUGUUGCAGUGAGCCGAGAUCGUGCCACAGCACACCAGCCUAGCGACAGUGAGACUCCAUCUCAAAAAAAAAAAAAAAGUCUCAAAGUCAAGAUUCCACCUGGCAAGUUCUGGAAGGCGUGCAAGAUGAAUUGCCUAUCACAGCCCCCUUUCUACAAGACUACCAAGUGGGGUUCAGAGAAGUGGGGAACUGCCCAGGGCUACACCUGCCUCCCACGCCUUCCUAAUCCACAGACAGGCAAUCUAUACCUGCGGGGGCCCCUGAAGAAGUCCAAUGCACCGCUUGUCAAUGUGACCCUCUACUAUGAAGCACUGUGCGGUGGCUGCCGAGCCUUCCUGAUCCGGGAGCUCUUCCCAACAUGGCUGUUGGUCAUGGAGAUCCUCAAUGUCACGCUGGUGCCCUACGGAAACGCACAGGAACAAAAUGUCAGCGGCAGGUGGGAGUUCAAGUGCCAGCAUGGAGAAGAGGAGUGCAAAUUCAACAAGGUGGAGGCCUGCGUGUUGGAUGAACUUGACAUGGAGCUAGCCUUCCUGACCAUUGUCUGCAUGGAAGAGUUUGAGGACAUGGAGAGAAGUCUGCCACUAUGCCUGCAGCUCUACGCCCCAGGGCUGUCGCCAGACACUAUCAUGGAGUGUGCAAUGGGGGACCGCGGCAUGCAGCUCAUGCACGCCAACGCCCAGCGGACAGAUGCUCUCCAGCCACCGCACGAGUAUGUGCCCUGGGUCACCGUCAAUGGGGUAAGAAUCUUUUUAGCCCUCAGCUUGACACUCAUAGUCCCAUGGAGUCAGGGAUGGACAAGACAGAGGGACCAGAGAUAAAGGAACCCAGGCGGAGGUUGCAGUGAGCUGAGAUCACGCCACUGCACUCCAGCCUGGGCAACAAGAGCAAAACUUGAUAGCUUUGCAUAGGGAAAAAGGGCUUUGAUGCUGGGGUUUUGAAAGGUGAGUAGGAGUCCAUCAGGAAAAAAAAGUAUGUAUUAAUUCGAAGUAUUAAACAUCCCUAGCCACCCCCAUUGGGAAAGAUGUGCCACUGAUUUGCGAGGUGGGAGGCGGGGGCCAGACUUGGGAAUAUGUGCAGCCCUUUCUGGGCUGGAACCAGGGUGCAUGGGUUGGGGUAGCUGCUGGGAAUAUGCGACCCCUGUCUUGCUUUGUGCAGAAACCCUUGGAAGAUCAGACCCAGCUCCUUACCCUUGUCUGCCAGUUGUACCAGGGCAAGAAGCCGGAUGUCUGCCCUCCCUCAACCAGCUCCCUCAGGAGUGUUUGCUUCAAGUGAUGGCCGGUGAGCUGCGGAGAGCUCAUGGAAGGCGAGUGGGAACCCGGCUGCCUGCCUUUUUUUCUGAUCCAGACCCUCGGCACCUGCUGCUUACCAACUGGAAAAUUUUAUGCAUCCCAUGAAGCCCAGAUACACAAAAUUCCACCCCAUGAUCAAGAAUCCUGCUCCACUAAGAACGGUGCUAAAGUAAAACUAGUUUAAUAAGC
RNAcentral lists this small RNA (2115 nucleotides) under Pan troglodytes (chimpanzee). Its description in RNAcentral is "retained intron". Lineage: Eukaryota; Metazoa; Chordata; Mammalia; Primates; Hominidae. The record is from RNAcentral.